Molecule: ribosomal RNA, 492 nt
Filed under: uncultured bacterium
Lineage: Bacteria
Description: partial 16S ribosomal RNA
Rfam family: Bacterial small subunit ribosomal RNA
Source: RNAcentral
AUUGAACGCUGGCGGUAGGCCUAACACAUGCAAGUCGAACGGCAGCACAGUAAGAGCUUGCUCUUACGGGUGGCGAGUGGCGGACGGGUGAGGAAUACAUCGGAAUCUACUUUUUCGUGGGGGAUAACGUAGGGAAACUUACGCUAAUACCGCAUACUACCUACGGGUGAAAGCAGGGGAUCUUCGGACCUUGCGCGAUUGAAUGAGCCGAUGUCGGAUUAGCUAGUUGGCGGGGUAAAGGCCCACCAAGGCGACGAUCCGUAGCUGGUCUGAGAGGAUGAUCAGCCACACUGGAACUGAGACACGGUCCAGACUCCUACGGGAGGCAGCAGUGGGGAAUAUUGGACAAUGGGCGCAAGCCUGAUCCAGCCAUACCGCGUGGGUGAAGAAGGCCUUCGGGUUGUAAAGCCCUUUUGUUGGGAAAGAAAAGCAGCAGGUUAAUACCCCGCUGUUCUGACGGUACCCAAAGAAUAAGCACCGGCUAACUUCGUG